AGAGUUUGAUCCUGGCUCAGGACGAACGCUGGCGGCGUGCUUAACACAUGCAAGUCGAACGGAAAGGCCCUUCGGGGUACUCGAGUGGCGAACGGGUGAGUAACACGUGGGUGAUCUGCCCUGCACUUUGGGAUAAGCCUGGGAAACUGGGUCUAAUACCGAAUAUGACCACGCUCUUCAUGGGGUGUGGUGGAAAGCUUUUGCGGUGUGGGAUGGGCCCGCGGCCUAUCAGCUUGUUGGUGGGGUAAUGGCCUACCAAGGCGACGACGGGUAGCCGGCCUGAGAGGGUGACCGGCCACACUGGGACUGAGAUACGGCCCAGACUCCUACGGGAGGCAGCAGUGGGGAAUAUUGCACAAUGGGCGCAAGCCUGAUGCAGCGACGCCGCGUGAGGGAUGACGGCCUUCGGGUUGUAAACCUCUUUCACCAGGGACGAAGCGCAAGUGACGGUACCUGGAGAAGAAGCACCGGCCAACUACGUGCCAGCAGCCGCGGUAAUACGUAGGGUGCGAGCGUUGUCCGGAAUUACUGGGCGUAAAGAGCUCGUAGGUGGUUUGUCGCGUUGUUCGUGAAAACUCACAGCUUAACUGUGGGCGUGCGGGCGAUACGGGCAGACUAGAGUACUGCAGGGGAGACUGGAAUUCCUGAUGUAGCGGUGGAAUGCGCAGAUAUCAGGAGGAACACCGGUGGCGAAGGCGGGUCUCUGGGCAGUAACUGACGCUGAGGAGCGAAAGCGUGGGGAGCGAACAGGAUUAGAUACCCUGGUAGUC
RNAcentral lists this ribosomal RNA (770 nucleotides) under uncultured bacterium. Its description in RNAcentral is "bacterial SSU rRNA". It matches the Rfam family "Bacterial small subunit ribosomal RNA", at positions 8 to 795 of the family's 1533-position model. The record is from RNAcentral.